GUUUUUUAUUAUUUAUAAUUAAAAUUUCAGACAGAAAAUUUAAAAGCGUAGAUUAAAUUAAAAACUCUGGGAGGCCGGUUCAAUCUUUUUAAUAAAAAAGAUAUCACCAAAUCCCAAGGCAGAUUUAACCACCAGGGAAAAAACCAUCCCAAAGUAUACUUUUCAAUAGGUGCACACAAGGUGAAUAUGGAUACAAAAAAUCCAUAUGGGAUUAAUUGUUAAUGAUCCUUCCGCAGGUUCACCUACGGAAA
RNAcentral lists this unclassified non-coding RNA (251 nucleotides) under uncultured fungus. RNAcentral describes it as "sequence contains ITS1". The record is from RNAcentral. Lineage: Eukaryota; Fungi.